Molecule: long non-coding RNA, 2642 nt
Organism: Betta splendens (Siamese fighting fish)
Lineage: Eukaryota; Metazoa; Chordata; Actinopteri; Anabantiformes; Osphronemidae
Exons: 3
Source: RefSeq, a predicted model, not a curated record
GACUGUCGGAAGUAGCGUUAGCUUAUGUUCUAACGUUAGCUUGUAUAUUAGCUCUGACUGGCUGGCAGCAACUAAUUCAAUAUUACUACUUACUAAACCCUGCCUGUAUAUUGGUUUUGGGUUUGGGUGUGUUUUGUUUUGCAGGAACAAAGGGGUGGAGCUGUGUUGGCAUCAAUGCAGCACACCUGUGCUGAAGAGGUGAGCUGUAUUAAAGGGCCCUGCAGUCCUCUGUGUGCCUGUUGCGGACUCUCAGGCACUCAUUUAUACCUAUUGGCUGGUUUGUGACAAAAUGGGGUCUCGUCCAGCUGUUUUGUUGGCAAGUUUGGUUUGACGCCAUUUUGGUGAUUUGUUGCUGGACCGUGCUAGUGUUUGUUAUGUCUCUUAUAUUGUUUAAGGCUAACCUCAGCUCUUUACAUAUAGUGAUUUUUUUCUCAGGUUGAUUGUUUGUGAUUUGUGCUUUGGGUUUGGGGAGGCUGCGGCGGUUCAGGGUGUUUUUUGGCUUGUUUAAAGAUGAUUUCUGUGGUUUAAAGGUAUCCUGUUUGUACUAAUUUAAAAUUAGUUUUAAGACUCUUAGUGGCUGAAUGUUUCAUUCGUAGUGAUAGUGUGAUUAGCUGCACACGUGAGAACUGGCAUUUCCCUGGUAGGCUGUAGGAACAUUUCCUCUUUAGGCAUUUGUUCAGAAGCCUCGAAGUGCUGCAGUGAAAAUGGUUGGAGCAGUGGUUUUGGGGGCACGUCCAUAUAAUUGGGGUGGUCGCUGUUUUUACAGUUGCCUUUCUCACUCUAUUGGGUUUUAGUGGGUAAGUACUUACUGUACAGUAAGUAACUGCAUGUAGACUAGGGUUGAGUUUGUAGUGAGUGUAAGUUUUUUUCUAAUAGGUAGUUAGCAGGGAACUUUCUAGUUUUGGUGCAGACAUGGUCAACACUGUCCUAUAAUGGCCUCUACUGGAAGGUUUAGUCAGUCUCCAUCAGAGGAACUGUUGAGUAGUUGCUUAAAGGGACAACUGUUAAAGCUUGUUGAGCAUUGUGGUGUAGAAGUUGGGAGUAAACAUCUUAAGUAUGAUAUCAGAGAUGUGGUAAAGUGUGCUUUAGUAAAGCAAGGCAUUUUACCAGCUGUUGUUCAGGGAGUGGAGGAGUCUGCCAAAUUAUCUGAUUAGGUUCCAAACCCAGGUUUGACUUCUGAGCAACAAAAAUAACUUUUACUGCUACAAAUGGAGAGGGAUAAGUUGCACAUAGAGCAGGAGAGAAUAAAACAUGCAUUUGAGAGGGAAAAAAUAGAGGUGGAGCAGUAUUUAUUAGAUUUAAUUAAAGGGCUCAUAUCAUGCAAAAUCCACUUUUUAGACAUUUUGGAGCGUUCCUAUGACUCUAUGGGUCACAUAUACACACACUGAGCACGGUAGAAAUGCAUUUCCUGCUUUUUUCACAUUUUGAAAACGUAAAUUCUCUCAUCCUACUGUUCUGAGGCCGUUCCCCAGGUUUCGUCACAGUGGUUGAAAGUUCUCCCUGCAAAUCCUGAACCACCACCCCCACAAUGAUCCCGAACCAAAACUGGACUUCCGCCAUUUCCCUCCUCUCACUCACCGUGAACAGACCAGCACGGCAGCGCCCAAGUCCUCCCAUAGAAAUAGUUCGGUUCUUAGGUGUUCUAACCAACACCAAAGUCUAUUCACUUUACCAAGGGAUCAACAAGUGAGGACUUUGUGGGUCACUUUUAUUUUUAACGGACCGGUGCCAGAAACAUUGCCUCAGCAUUUAUACGUAUGUGCAUUUCAAACAAGGGUGCGUACAAUGCUGGAUUUGUUUCACGGCUCCUGUUGGAAAAAAAUGAUCUAUUUCUACAGUCCGUCAUCCACUCACUGAAGGAGGCACAUCCCAGUUACCUACAUGCAAGGAGGCUGUGAAACAGAGAAAUCACUGCAGACUGUUGGUACACAGACAUCUGCUGCCCAGCUCAGGAGUAAAGUACCUUUUGUUUUGAUGAGGUGAUGGUGAGGACAGCCACAGAUUGCAUCUGGUAGAGGACUGCUUCCGCUCAGUCUUCCAAAUAGUGAUGAGAACAAGGAUCACCACAUCUCCCUGUUUACCCUACUUUCAUGCAUUUCGUCUGCAAGGCCCUGCAAAAGCUUCUGUUCUCAAACCCCCAGACUUCUUAAUUAACUCAGUAACCUAUACAUUGCACAUUGGAGUGUGAAGGUAACAGUUUGUUCUAGCUUUGGAGUAGUGGUGUAUUUUUUUGGUUUACAAUAAAGUUGGCUUUAACUAUUAUGUAUUUCACUAAACUCUGUUUCUGAAGGUAAAACACUUUUAUUUAGGACAGCAUAGUAUUGAAAUUACAUUGUUCUCUUUCUAAUAUGGUAAGCUAUAAAGUUGAAGCAGCCAUAAAUAAAAAGCAUAUAAAUUAUAUAUAAAUAAAAUAAAAAAAAUUCUUAAUGAGUGUUGCACUCACAAAAAACACAUUUUUACUCAAAUGGUAAAGGAGUUAUUCCACAGGUGGUCUACAUCAAUCAUACUGAGUGUUUUAGUGUUUUAUCCAUCAGGAAACUGCCUUCAUCUACAACCCAAGCAUGAAGAGAUGGCAACUCAGAUUCUUCACCCCAGGAAUCUUUAGCACCAGCUCACUAGCCUCUGUAGACUAGAUACCAGUA